GGGCCUUUUUAUGAUCCCCGACUUUCCGUAUUAGCUCUAAAUUCUUUCGGUCUUUUUUAUGAUCCCCGACUUUCCGUAUUAGCUCUAAGUUCUUUAGGUCCUUUUUAUGAUCCCCGACUUUCCGUAUUAGGUCUAAGUUCUUUCGGUCUUUUUUAUGAUCCCCGACUUUCCGUAUUAGCUCUAAGUUCUUUCGGUCAUUUUUAUGAUCCCCGACUUUCCGUAUUAGCUCUAAGUUCUUUCGGUCCUUUUUAUGAUCCCCGACUUUCCGUAUUAGCUCUAAGUUUUUUCGGUCCUUUUUAUGAUCUCCGACUUUCAGUAUUAGCUCUAAGUUUUAACUUUUUGUGUAUUUUUUUGUAUUCUUGUGUAUUUUUGGUUUUUUUUUUAUUAUGUAUUUUGUGUUUUUGUUUAUUUUUGUAUUAGCUCUAAUUUUGUGUAUUUUUGUGUAUUAGGUAUUUUUUGGAUUUUUAAGAAUAACAAAAAAAAAAACGAGAAAGAAUGAGAAUUACCUCGUUGAAGCGGAGACAAGCUUCCCAAGGAUUAGAAUCGAAAUAAAAUAUCCCUAAAGAAGGUAGGGGGCUAGAAGCAGAUCAGUAGGAGUAAGGGCAAAAUGUAUCCAAAAACGGAUAAAAAAGAAAAUACCAUUGAUCCCGACCUUUGUCUUUCCGCUGCUCCUUGACCCUACACAAGUAAAUCAAAACGAAGUUAGCUGUAAGAAUGCAGCACCAUACACAACAUGUAAGAAUAUCAAUAAAUUUUCUAUUUACUUUGAACAUCAGGAGGUGAUGCCGUAGCAGUGGCCUUAAUAGGUUUCUGCUCACAAAUGGAUGUGCAGCUGAGAAAGGAACCAAGAGCAUGGAUUGUUUACUCGAGUAUAUAUAAAUAAUCCAUAGUCUUGGUUCUUUUUAUGGCACCAUUAUCUAUCAGUUUAUUGAAAUUCAAAACUUCAUUAUUUUUUUCUGGUCGUUUGCUAACUAAUGCCAAGAAAUUUCAAGAUACAAUCAGUUCAGAGUACAAUGAACAGCUAGACAUAUAAGCAUAAAAUAGUCUUUGUUCAUAAGAUUUUAUAAGAUAUGAUACAAGAACAUAAUGGUAAAGAAUUUGAGACUAGACAAUACAAACAUAUGAAUAUGCUAAAGGAUAAAACGAAAACGUACCUCUUCUAUCCUAGACUUCGUUCCACCUCUAAUUGACACAGAAUAAUUUUAUUCUUCUUUGCAAUGCAUGUCUCAGUUGACUGCAUCAGUUGCCUUUCCAAAGAUAUUAUAUCUGCUUCUUCAAUCUCCCUAUAUGAGAGAGGAAAAAAACGUGCUGUUAGAUAGCGAUGUCUUUAACACAAGUCUGCCAAUCCAUUGGAUCAGUGUAGACCCACAUACAUCACAGAGAUGACAAGCCUCUGGAAAAAGCUCAUAAUACUAUCCCAACUAAACAUCCAUCACUAUUUAUUUCAUUCAAGAUCACAUGUGAAAUAUAAGUUUCCAUGUUGUGAAGUUUCUUUCCACAUUUUUUUCUUAUGAACAUGCAGGUGGCAGUAUAUACACGGCAUGCAUGUGACAGUAUAUACACGGAGUUCUCAUUAUGUAUGAUUUAUCAUGUAACUCAUUCAGUUGUACGCUAUAUGAAAAAACACUCUUAUUGGUUGCCAAAUAUAUCUACUAUAAAAAAAGAAUGAUAUGCAUAGCAGCUUGAGAAAUAGAUUUGAAUAUUAGUACCUAAUGAAGAGGGAUAUAUAGCUGUAGGGUAAAUUUACAGCUCCAAAUCCAGAUAAGACAGCCAUUAAGGUCACACCAAUGACCCCAAUUCUACUGACGAGCUGAGGCAUUGUAAAAAAACCUUCAAAAUAAAUAGGAUCUUUAAGUCCAUAAGUUUAAUAGACAACAAAAAUAACACAGAAAUGAGAAUGUUGGGAUGCAAAAGCUAAUGCCAAUCAGAAGUAGACAAGCAAAGAAUAAAGAAUAGUUCAUUUCGAGCAUUUUUUCUGAAAUUAUUUAAGGUCAGGUGACGCUGUAGUCUUAUGAUAACAACACUUCAUCUCAAUGCUUCAUUCCUACAAGACAGCAAUGUAUGGAAGCUAAAAAGGAAAGAAGAACCAAAGUUAUCUUAUAUUUGACAACACAGGAAACGGAUUCAAACAAUUGAGAUUCAAUGGUUUUUAUAACAUAGCAUAAACUGAACAAGACACACUCAGAUUCAUUGAUCACCAUAACACAAACGAUUCAAGUUUCAAAAGAACAUAGCACAUCAUUGAUUCAUUACACAUAAACAUCAACAUAACACAUACAAACUGAUUCAUUACACAUAGAAACUGAUUUAUUACACAUAAACAUCAACAUUACACAUACAAACUGAUUCAUUACACAUAAACAUAACAAAAUCAAUACAUUCAAAACAGAUCAAGAUCAAUACAAUGAAACGAAACAACACAUAAACAGAAACUUAACAACACACAAACAGAAAUUUAAUAACACACAAAAAGAAACUAUAUAAGGCUACAUCAUCUACAAACGAAACAAUCAAAGAAACCUAAUUUAUCUCAGAACCAAAUUCAUCACAAUGGAGUAAAUCUAAAUCAGCUUCAUCACGAUCUGUAUUUCUAACAAGCAUAGCGUCACAGAACCCUAAAUUGACUGUUUAUUGUAUCAAAGAACCCUCCGAUCAAACCCAAUUAUGAUAACCAUAAUAUCGAACACAAUCUAAUCCCGAAACAAAUAAACAUAAUAUCUCUAACACAUCAAAUCCCCUAAUUCAUCACAAUGUAAUAAUGUAAACUCUUUGAAUCGUACCAUUACAGAGUGAUUGGAGCAUCAGAGAACAAAAACCCUCGAUUUCUUUCACCACAACAGAUGUCGAUUUCUGUGGCCAAAGAACCCUAACUCCGGUGGAAACAGCUCGCAACGACAGCCGGAGAUGAUGAUUACGACGGCUAAGAGACGAGUUUGGUGGCUACUCUCCUCUGAAAUCAACCCUUCGACAUGAAUCCUUCUUAAUGGCCAUCGAUUUUGAGAGAGAAAGGAGAGAAAGAGAGAAAGAAAAGAAAAACAAUUUACGCGUCUAACUUUUUUUUUUUUUGGUUUUGUUUUUAUGUGCACCCAAUAUUAUUGUGACACGUACACAGUUCUAAACUUGUAUUUACAGGUUAUCAAUUUGACUAUGUAUUUGAUUGGACAAUCUUGAAGUAUCCACAGUUCAGUUCCGGCUCCAGCUCGAGCUCCAAGCCAAGAGUAAGUAACAUCUGUUUUUUCGAAAUUUUCCAUCAUCGUGAAGAAGAGUUCUUAAGAGCAUAUUAUCAAAUUCUCACGUAUGUCUCUGUAUUCCAACAGUCAAGCCUGAGACCAGCUCUGAAUCCUCCAGUACCAACCGCCGAAAGACCAGAUAAACCUUCAGGUAAGCCUUCAAUUGUAUAACCCAUAUCUUUAGUUAACACUUGCCUCAUUUUGUGUGUCUCUUCUCGUGGCUGCUUCUGCUUCUUCGCUCCAUCAAACAGUUUCCCUUUUUGGUUGUAAUGCCAAUCAGGUGCUUUGUGACCAAUUCGCCAUUAGUUUCUGUCUUUUCUUUUUCUUCAUCGUUUAUUCAUCGGUUGAUUUCCUGUUAACUGACUUUGUCAGAAAUGCAUCACGUUCCCUUCUCAUAGUUUGGUGUUUGAACAAAACAGGACAUAGUAAACCAAAAUUUGUGUCUCUGUAUACAGCUGGAGCUGGGCAAGACAGUCGCGAUAGAUUUUCGGGUGCCUUAGAGGCAUAUGCUAGAAGAAAUGGCUCAGGAAGUGGCGCUGUUCAAGCUGAUCGAUCUAGACCAAGAACCUCAGAGAAUGUAUUAGCGUCAUCGAAGGAUUCAACACCGGUGAGUCAUCUACAAACAUAGAAUCUUCUUUUAUAUUAGCUCUGGAAGUCCUUUCUUUUAAACUUUUUAUUGACUAAAACCAGCAAAACUAUGAGAGAGUCGAAAGACCAAUCUCUUCAACAAGACACGCAAGUUCUUCAAGAAAAGCCGUUGUCUCGAGUGUUAGAGCCACUUCUUCAGCUGAUUUCACAGAGAACCGCUCUAGCAGAGUUAUCCCAAACAAUGGCCGUUCCUCAACCGCUCAGAGGACUCAGCUUGUUCCUGAUCCGACCUCUAGACCAUCUUCGUCUUCUUUUGCCCGAGCUGCGCCGUCAAGGACUGCUCGUGAUAUCACGCUCCAGAGCUUUGAGCUACUCACCAUAGGGAAUGGGAAGAGGAAGUGAGGCUUUUUUACACGGUAACACGGUGGUGAAUGAGAGUGGAAGAAACUACGACAUUUUUAUGGAUACUUUGUUCUUAUUUUCACGAAAUUAUCGGUUUCCUAAUUUAAGGAAUAAAUCGAACAUCAUUUGAUUACAAAUUAUAUGUGAUAAAGUAUAUGGUUUUAACUCGUUAAGCUAUGCACUAAAUUCCAUGUGUUUAUCUUACAAUCAAAAGAAGAAAACUAAAUCAAAAUUAAAUGUCACUAGUCCAAGUAAAUAAAAUUUAACUAUGAUUAUUUCUUUUUCAGAUAAAUUUUAAGAAUGUGAUUUAUAAUUUAUUUAGCACAUUCAACAAAAAUUACCAAUUAAAUAAGAAAUAAAUAUAAUUUAAUAACAAAAAUGAAAAGAUUAUAUAAAUUAGCGUACAAUUUUACAUAAGAUAAAGUUGAAGCUUUUAUUAGGAUUUGUUUGAUAGUUGAUUUUUUUGCUAACAUUUUUCUCAAAAUAUCAAAAAAUAAUAUUUUUUGCCGUUUUCCAAAGAGUAUCAUUUUUAAGGUUUUCAUCUUAUUUCCAAUACUGUUCUUAAGACUUAAUCUCUUUUUUUUUUUUUUAAUCUCUACUCUUUCAGUUUACUAGUUAGAGAGAGGGUGUUAUUAUGUAGUGUAUUAUUAAAGAGUAAUUUUUUUUAUAUAUUUCUCUUAAUUUGUGUGAAAACUACUAAGAAUGAGACUCUUUGUGAAGCGGAUGAAGUAUCUUAUAAAUUUUUAGUAAUAUCAACUUGAAGGAGUGGCAACUAAGUCGUUCGAGGAAAGUUCGUUUUAGUGAGCAUAAAGCUGCUCUUACAAAUACCUUGAGAAGUGCAAUCCCAUUUUUCCACUUUCUUAUUCAUCCACUGUCAUAAGUAUGCAUUCAAAACAAACUUUGGAUAAUAAAAGAUCAUGUGGGCAUGGCUAACCUCUUAUGUCACCUCAAACAUUUGGAUGUCAAAGUCUUCUAGUAAAUAACAUAAUUGAGUGUUAUGCCUCAUUAAGGCGAUGGCCAUACAAGCGUAUGCAACCGGUAGGUUCUUGGCCUUUUACAAUUUAGUGAUUUUCAUUACGUUAGUCAAAUUAUGCAUUAACUCUUUUACAUAACUUCUUCAAGAAAUUGAUAUGGUUUAGGGAUCUCUUUUCAUUAUGCAUCUAAAAUAUGUUUGAUGGGCUUAUUUUUCCGAUCUUUUUUUUUAUAUGCAUUUCUUAGUAUGAUUGGGCUUAUUUUACAGAUCUUUGAUUCACAAAUGGAUUAUUAUUGAGUGUAUCUCAACACUUUUUCUAGAUAAACCAUUUUUUUUUAGGAUGAGACUUUUUCCCAGAUUUUCCUAUAUCAUUUCAAGUUAUUAUUGGAUUACAAAUUAAAUUAAUUUUACCAAUGAAAAAUAGAAACACAAUAUAUUAAAAUAAAAUAAAAACUGAAAAGAGAAAUAUUACAUAAAUGAAUAAACAUUAUUCAAAGGUAAAAUAAAAAUUAUUCAAAGAUAACAUUUGCAGAAAAUCCUUGUCUUAAAACCCGAUUUUUCAAUUAAUUGUUUUUUAUUCAUUUAUCGGGGUAAAAGAGAGAAUACUCUUAAUUUUUAAAGCUUUAGUUCAAGAUCUAGAACAUCCUCAUCGUCAUCUUCUAUGACGAUAGUCUCCGGCCACUCUCGCUCCAACUGCUCGAUGAGCGGUAAAGUGCACACUACAUCCUCUGCUGAAAUAUCUUCCUCCACAAUAUAAAGUUGCAGAUCCAGUUGAUGAUGUGGUUGGGGAUGAGGCUGAGGUGAAAAAUGAAACGACCGCCAAUUCAAUUGUGGUUGCACCAUGUUACGAACAAUAAAAUUGAUAUUAUUGUUCUGAUUCAUGGGCACAAAUUGUUGAUUUGGUCUCACAUUUGCGGAAGUCGCAGAGAAUGUGUUUCGGAACCUCAAUGGUUGAUUAAUGUAAGAGUAACUACUGUAAUUAUUUUGAGGUGGAUUUUGGCGAAAACUUGGGUUUAAAUUGGUAUUGGUGUGAAACAAUUCACGGUGUGAGAAAAGUUCUCGAUGGGUGAGAAAGAUUUCUCCACACGUGAAACACAGAGGUUCGUGAUCUGGAUUAACAAACUUCAUUGUAUGGUGGAUAUUAUGAACAAAGGAGAAUUAAAAGAUAUUGUGAAUUAAUCAAAGAACGUGACCUCAUAUACAUAUAUAGGGGGAAUGCAUAUGUCUAUAGGACAUAUUAGGAAUUGCAUAAAUAUUUUAAAUACCAAAUUAGGGAAAAAAUUAUAAAAAAAUACACAUUAACUUUUAUGAUAAGAACAAAAAUUUAUUUCCAAUUUUGAUAAUUAUUUUGAAUUUUUUUGCUUACAUGUGUUGAUUAAAUUUUGUAGUUUUCUAUAUUGCUGUAUAUAUUUAUAAAUCUAUGUUAAGCCAAUUAAGACUAAAUAUAUUAGAUUUUAUAGUGCCAUUUUAAUUACAAUAAUUGCGCUACGACUGUGAGAAGUCAAAACAAAAAUGAUUAUUUGAAAGAGAUUAAAAAGUUUCUUAUUAGUGUAUUUGGAAGUAAAUGAUAGGAUUACAUGGUAUGUUGACUUCUUUUUAUAUUGACCAAGAAAAUGAUAAAAAGAAAAAGAAUUUAGUCAGCCUCAUAAGAGAGUAAUGUUAUCCGCAAAGGAAAGGUUUUCCAAUUAGUUUAUACUAUAAAAAUAUGGGGAUUCUCAAUUUGUUUCUAAAACCAUUAUGAGGGUAAAGAAAACCCGACCAGUAAACCAUUUUCUAUUAUGCAGGUCGCAGGAUAUAACAACUAGCCAGUGGCGGAGCUAGGAUUUGUAUUUAUCGGGGUCAAAUUGCACAAAUAAUAAUUAUAGGGGUUAAUUUCUUCAAUGUACUAGAAUAAUUUUCAAAUUAUAGCUAAAAAUUAACUAAAUUUCAAAGUUUCAUGGGUGUCAUUUGACCCCCAUGAUCUUUGGCUGCCUCCGCCCUGCAACUAGCUGAUGUUAAACUUUGAUGGAAACAAUUAUAGAGAUUGACUAUUAUCCUCUUGACUAAGAGUAUUCUCCCAAUGAAUUUUAGUUUUUAAUUUGGUUGCAAUUUGCAAAUUUUGUUGUAAUUUCACAACGUUGAUGUGAAAUCCAUUACGUAGUAUAUAAUUGGAACUAAUCUAGACCUAGGCAUAUAUCCAAAAACUUUGAUAUUUGGAUUUUUUUUUUUUUUGGUAUUUAUGUACCCGAAAAUAAUUGGAUUUUUAGCGGGUAUGAAAAUCUAUACCAGAUCCAAUUUGAACUCGAAAGGACCCUAAUCGAAUCCAAAUUUUUUUUUUUACAUUUAUCCUAUUGGAUCCUAUAAUCCUCUACCUAAGAAAUCCGAACCCGAACGGUUCAUACCCGAACCCGACCUGAGUACCUGAAUGCCCAUAAGUAAACAAAUCCAUGUCCAAAAUUCUGAAGGAUGACAUUGUUAAGAAAAAUAUUUCCACCUACUCUUUUCAUGUAAUAUAACACCCAGCUGGUACACAUACCAUUCGAUGCAGAACUUGGUGAUCCUUUACACCAUAAUUGGAUAUAUCCUCUCAAUUUUCUUUAAAAUUAAAUUGAAAAGUAAGAUGAAGAACCAAAGAUACCCAUCAUGAUUAAUAAUUUAUUCACUUCUCGAAACACUUUACUACAACUAACUGAAGAAGAUAAAUUAGAAUUAGCAAUUACAUUUUUCACUUUCAACUUUAAGAGUUAAGAUUAUAAUUUUUUUCAAAUCCUUAAAAUAUUUUCAUACAUAUGCAGUUGUCUUAUAUUUGUCUUCUUCCACGAACAGUGUUUUUAGGAUGAUAUUUUUUUCAAGCAUUCAAAAGAAACCAAUACCAAUGGCACCAUGGUAGAAAAUUGUUGGACUUUAUCAAUAAGAAAACAAAAGUCAUAUGCCUGAAGGUAGAAUUGACCAAAUAAAUUAGAUAGCUCAGUAAAAAUAAAGUUUGAACCUUAACCUAGGAAUUACUUUAAACAUAUAGAUGUUAUUGUUCUCAGUAUAAUCUUUGGAAGCUUGAAUUUACAAAGGUUUUUACCAGAAGUUCACGGCAUUAUUUCUGAUAUUUUCCUUUGUAUUUCUCGCUUUUCUUCUUUUGUUUGUCGCUUUAUCCCUCGGUCUACAAACGGUGUAGCCGACUCUCUUGCAAAACAUUGCCUUAGCUUGUAUGGUUCGAACUUCUAGUUUUUAUAUAUAAAUGCUGGGGGUGCACAAAAAAAAAAAACCUUAACCUAGGAAUUACUUUAAACAUAUUGAUGGUAUUGUUCUCAAAUAUAAUCUUUGGAAGCUUGAAUUUACAAAAGUUUGAUAUAUCCCCUACUUAGUAGCAUAGAAAUAAAUAUUAUUUCCUCAUUCCCCCAACUACAUAUCCGCUUGCACAGUUUGAAAUAUUGAAGAAUUAAGCAUGUGAUAGAACAACACUAGCACUAACUAUCAAUAGCUUACUAAUUUAUGAAGAUAGUACAUGGAGUUAAAUAAGCGAAAAGCAAGCAACCGUAAAAAAAUUUUACUCACGCUUACGGGUGGGUGUUCAUAUAUCUGUUUGGGUAAGGUAUUUUGAGCUCUCGGGUUCAGAGGUAUAUGAUCUAUUAUGUUAUGACUAAAUUUCAGCUUCGUAUUGGGUAAAACAUUUGUAUUAAAAUAAAAAAAAAUUGUAUUAAAAUCGGUCCAAACUGUUCGAAAUACCUAAAACCUAUAUAUAUAAUAGGACAGUUCUCUCUCCAUCUAGCCUAUCGACAUCAUCAUCCACCUCAUUAAGAUUUUUUUAAAAACAAAGUAUAUUUAAAAUGUUUAUUAAAUGCAUAUUUAUGUACUCAUAAUUGAUAGAAAAAUUAAUUAAAUAGAAAAGAAUUAAAAUAAGAAAAAAAGAAUUAAACUAAAUAAACAAAAUUUAAAAAUCCUAAAAUAAAUAUUGUUAAAAUGUUAUUAGUAAUCAUCACAUUUCCAAUGAUUUAAUGUGGUAAUGAGAUUUAUAAUGGAAGAAAACUAUUAUAUGCAUGGUAGAGUAAAAAAAUAUAUAUGACUAUAUAUAUAAAACUUAUAAACAAGAAUAUAUAUAUAUAUAUAUAUAUAUAUAUAUCUAUAUCUAUAUAUAUAAAGUUAACUUUUUCUCUUUUCUCCUUAAGCCACAUCAUCAUCCACCUCAUUUUAUUAUUUAAUUUUUAAAAUUAAUUAUACAAUUUUAUCAUUUAAUUUUAAUAUUUAAACCUAUGUAAAUAAGUUUUUCAAAAAUGAAUAUGAAAGGUCUUUUUUAUAUUAUACAUUAUAAAACUAAAAAAGAUAAUUGAUUAAAAGUUAAAAAACUUACUAAUUAUCGAUUAUACUAACAAAUAUAUAUAAAUAAUAUAUUAUAGUUUUUAGUGAAUGUUUAAAAUAUAUAUAUGAUUAUAUUUACACAAUGUAAACCUAAAUAUAAUGGGAUUUAACGGGAAUAGAGCAAAAAGUAAGAAAUUUUGAGAAUAUAAAUCUAUCUAAUUUAUGUCUUAAAAAAUUUUCUAACAUAAAUGAGAUAGGUCGGACGAAACAUGAAUUCUCAUUUUUAUAAACAUAUAAAAAGGUAAAAAUAAAAAUAAUAUUUCUUUAAAAGUUUCCACUAUGAAUUUAACUAUUUUUUUCCAAUACAACACAUAUGUUAAACUAAUAAACAAAAUAAAAAAUUAACUAUAUUUCAUAAAAUUGAAAAUUAAAAUAAAAAACAUUAUUUAAUGAAAUAAAAUAAAAUUAAAGUAAAUUACACUAAUAUGUUUAAUUUAAAAAUGGUUCCAUAUGAAAAAACAAAAAAAACAUAUAAAACAUAAUCAGAAAAAUAUAUAAUAGUAUAUAAAUGAUCAUUACGAGAUAUAAAGUAUGACAAAUCCAAAAAAGGAAAAUGUAAAACAAAAAAUAAUAAAUUAUGACAAUAUAUAGAGAGAUAAUGUAAACAAUUAAAAAUAUAACAAUCCGCCCGAAACCCACAAAUCAUGUUCAAAUUUCAUGCCAACAUAUAAAAGGGCCCAAAAUAUUAACAUCUAGAUCUAUAUUUGGUAAAAACCCUAAUAGCACACGUUUCUCAAUGAUUCUCAACCGCACUUCCAUUUACGCCCACACUUCGACUUAUACUAUACACACUUAAUUUCUCAACAACUAAUGAAGCUAAAACUCAGUAUUUUUUCUAUACAAACACAAUUUAAGUUUUAAAAAGGUAAAGUAUGGUAUAAUGAAAAAAUAAGUAGAAAAUAAAAUACGAAUUAAUUACUCAUAAACAACAUAAUAAACUCCUGCGCGUAGCGCGGACAACCGACUAGUACAUAUAUAAAGUUAGCUUUCCUCUCUUCUCAUGAUGCCACCUAAUCAUCCACCUAAACACCAUUUUUAAUUUAAACACUAAAAUAAUUUUAAAUAUGUAUUAUGAUCCUUUCCGAUUUCCGUAUUAGCUCUAAGUUCUUUCGGUCCUUUUCAUGAUCCCGACUUUCCGUAUUAUCUCUAAAUUCUUUCGGUCCUUUUUAUGAUCCCGACUUUCCGUAUUAGGUUUAAGCUCUUUCGGUCGUUUUUAUGAUCCCCGACUUUCUGUAUUAGCUCUAAGGUCUUUAGGUCCUUUUUAUGAUCCCCGACUUUGCGUAUUAGCUCUAAGCUCUUUCCGUCCAUUUUAUGAUCCCCGACUAUCCGAAUUAGCUCUAAGUUCUUUCGGUCCUUUUUUUGAUCCCCGACUUUCCGUAUUAGCUCUAAGCUCUUUCGGUCCUUAUUAUGAUCCCCGACUUUCCGUAUUAGCUCUAAGCUCUUUCGGUCCUUUUUAUGAUCCCCGAAUUUCCGUAUUAGCUCUGAGCUCUUUCGGUCCUUUUUAUGAUCCCCGACUUUCCGUAUUAGCUCUAAGUUCUUUCGGUCAUUUUUAUGAUCCCCGACUUUCCGUAUUAGCUCUAAGCUCUUUCGGUCCUUUUUAUGAUCCCCAACUUUCCGUAUUAGCUCUAAGUUCUAUCGGUCCUUUUUAUGAUCCCCGACUUUCCGUAUUACCUCUAAGUUCUUUCGGUCCUUUUUAUGAUCCCCGACUUUCCGUAUUAGCUCUAAGUUCUUUCGGUCCUUUUUAUGAUCCCCGACUUUCCGUAUUAGCUCUAAGUUCUUGAGGUCCUUUUUAUGAUCUCCGACUUUCCGUAUUAGCUCUAAGUUCUUUCGGUCCUUUUUAUGAUCCCCGACUUUCCGUAUUAGCUCUAAGUUCUUUCGGUCUUUUUUAUGAUCCCCGACUUUCCGUAUUAGCUCUAAGUUCUUUCGGUCCUUUUUAUGAUCCCCGACUUUCCGUAUUAGCUCUAAGUUCUUUCGGUCCUUUUUAUGAUCCCCGACUUUCCGUAUUAGCUCUAAGUUCUUUCGGUCCUUUUUAUGAUCCCCGACUUUCCGUAUUAGCUCUAAGUUCUUUCGGUCCUUUUUAUGAUCCCCGACUUUCCGUAUUAGCUCUAAGUUCUUUCGGUCCCUUUUACGAUCCCCGACUUUCCGUAUUAGCUCUAAGUUCUUUCGGUCCUUUUUAUGAUCCCCAACUUUCCGUAUUAGCUCCAAGUUCUUUCGGUCCUUUUUAUGAUCCCCGACUUUCCGUAUUAGCUCUAAGUUCUUUCGGUCCUUUUAUGAUCCCCGACUUUCCGUAUUAGCUCUAAGUUCUUUCGGUCCUUUUUAUGAUCCCCGACUUUCCGUAUUAGCUGUAAGUUCUUUCGGUCCUUUUUAUGAUCCCCGACUUUCCGUAUUAGCUCUAAGUUCUUUCGGUCCUUUUUAUGAUCCCCCGACUUUCCGUAUUAGCUCUAAGUUCUUUCGGUCUUUUUUAUGAUCCCCGACUUUCCGUAUUAGCUCUAAGUUCUUUCGGUCCUUUUUAUGAUCCCUGACUUUCCGUAUUAGCUCUAAGUUCUUUCGGUCCUUCCGUAUUAGCUCUAAGUUCUUUCGGUCUUUUCUAUGAUCCCAGACUUUCCGUAUUAGCUCUAAG
This 12142-nucleotide long non-coding RNA is filed under the name Capsella rubella. RNAcentral's name for it is "long non-coding RNA (CRUB_LNC000812)". Lineage: Eukaryota; Viridiplantae; Streptophyta; Magnoliopsida; Brassicales; Brassicaceae. The record is from RNAcentral.